CCUACGGGGGGCAGCAGUGGGGAAUAUUGCACAAUGGGCGCAAGCCUGAUGCAGCCAUGCCGCGUGUGUGAAGAAGGCCUUCGGGUUGUAAAGCACUUUCAGCGGGGAGGAAGGCGGUGAGGUUAAUAACCUCAUCGAUUGACGUUACCCGCAGAAGAAGCACCGGCUAACUCCGUGCCAGCAGCCGCGGUAAUACGGAGGGUGCAAGCGUUAAUCGGAAUUACUGGGCGUAAAGCGCACGCAGGCGGUCUGUCAAGUCGGAUGUGAAAUCCCCGGGCUCAACCUGGGAACUGCAUUCGAAACUGGCAGGCUAGAGUCUUGUAGAGGGGGGUAGAAUUCCAGGUGUAGCGGUGAAAUGCGUAGAGAUCUGGAGGAAUACCGGUGGCGAAGGCGGCCCCCUGGACAGAGACUGACGCUCAGGUGCGAAAGCGUGGGGAGCAAACAGGAUUAGAUACCCCAGUAGUC
RNAcentral lists this ribosomal RNA (465 nucleotides) under uncultured Klebsiella sp. RNAcentral's name for it is "bacterial SSU rRNA". It matches the Rfam family "Bacterial small subunit ribosomal RNA", at positions 338 to 795 of the family's 1533-position model. Lineage: Bacteria; Pseudomonadati; Pseudomonadota; Gammaproteobacteria; Enterobacterales; Enterobacteriaceae. The record is from RNAcentral.